Molecule: ribosomal RNA, 401 nt
Filed under: Serratia sp. AZTITEMP186
Lineage: Bacteria; Pseudomonadati; Pseudomonadota; Gammaproteobacteria; Enterobacterales; Yersiniaceae
Description: bacterial SSU rRNA
Rfam family: Bacterial small subunit ribosomal RNA
Source: RNAcentral
UGGUGGANCAUGUGGUUUAAUUCGAUGCAACGCGAAGAACCUUACCUACUCUUGACAUCCACAGAAUUCGCUAGAGAUAGCUUAGUGCCUUCGGGAACUGUGAGACAGGUGCUGCAUGGCUGUCGUCAGCUCGUGUUGUGAAAUGUUGGGUUAAGUCCCGCAACGAGCGCAACCCUUAUCCUUUGUUGCCAGCGCGUAAUGGCGGGAACUCAAAGGAGACUGCCGGUGAUAAACCGGAGGAAGGUGGGGAUGACGUCAAGUCAUCAUGGCCCUUACGAGUAGGGCUACACACGUGCUACAAUGGCGUAUACAAAGAGAAGCGAACUCGCGAGAGCCAGCGGACCUCAUAAAGUACGUCGUAGUCCGGAUCGGAGUCUGCAACUCGACUCCGNGAAGUCGGA